GUAAGCAUAUAAAUGUACUGGAGAGGCGAUGAGGGAAAUUAGGACACGAAUAGCGUAUUUAAAGAGAAAAAUUCGCAACGAAAAACAUAUUCCUCCACUCGUUUGAUUUGCAGUUCCUGACAGAAUGGAAAGUUCAGCUUCGACGAGCAAUGAAUAUAAAAAACAACGAAAUGUUGUUCCACGUCGAUUAUUCGACCCCGAAUUUCUUACAUCAUGUAAAAGAAAGAAUCUCACUACGAAAGAACUAAUCAAUAUAUUUGCCAAUGGAUUUUAUCCACUCCAGUGAAAAACAGGCUACACACAAUAUGUUUUUUUAAUAAUUUUUUUGUAUGUAUAUUUUUGAAUGCUAUGUUUUUUCAUGUUAUUUUAUGUUAUUCAUAUUCUGUUAUUAUGUAUUUUGAUUUGUAUAGUUACUUUUUUCAUGUAAACUAGUUUUUACGAUA
RNAcentral lists this unclassified non-coding RNA (443 nucleotides) under Stegodyphus dumicola. RNAcentral's name for it is "uncharacterized LOC118205860, transcript variant X2". The record is from RNAcentral. Lineage: Eukaryota; Metazoa; Arthropoda; Arachnida; Araneae; Eresidae.